AACGCGAAGAACCUUACCUGGGUUUGACAUCCUCGGACCGCCACAGAGAUGUGGUUUUUGUAGCAAUACAACCGAGAGACAGGUGCUGCAUGGCUGUCGUCAGCUCGUGUGGUGACAUGUUGGGUUAAGUCCCGCAACGAGCGCAACCCUUGUCCUUAGUUGCCAGCAUUCAGUUGGGCUCUCUAAGGAGACUGCCGUGGUUAACACGGAGGAAGGUGGGGAUGACGUCAAGUCCUCAUGGCCUUUAUAUCCAGGGCGACACACGUGAUACAAUGGACGGUACAGAGGGAAGCGAAACCGCGAGGUGGAGCCAAUCUCAAAAAGCCGUUCUCAGUUCGGAUUGGAGUCUGCAAUUCGACUCCAUGAAGUUGGAAUCGCUAGUAAUCGCGGAUCAGCACGCCGCGGUGAAUACGUUCCCGGGCCUUGUACACACCGACUGUAC
RNAcentral lists this ribosomal RNA (442 nucleotides) under uncultured bacterium. RNAcentral describes it as "bacterial SSU rRNA". It matches the Rfam family "Bacterial small subunit ribosomal RNA", at positions 958 to 1399 of the family's 1533-position model. The record is from RNAcentral.